Brassica napus (rape) is the source of this 135-nucleotide non-coding RNA. Lineage: Eukaryota; Viridiplantae; Streptophyta; Magnoliopsida; Brassicales; Brassicaceae. The record is from Rfam.
GGAAGUUAAGAAACUGUUUAUUAACUUUUAACUAAAAAAACUAAGAACCGGUUCUUAACGGUUCUUAAAUAAGGACUUUAAGAACCGGUUCUUAAUUUUUUUAGUUAAAAGUUAAGAAAUAGUUUAUUAACUUCC